UGAAUUAAAAGUUUGUUUCAA
RNAcentral lists this non-coding RNA (21 nucleotides) under Caenorhabditis elegans. The record is from RNAcentral. Lineage: Eukaryota; Metazoa; Nematoda; Chromadorea; Rhabditida; Rhabditidae.